Molecule: ribosomal RNA, 261 nt
Filed under: uncultured bacterium
Lineage: Bacteria
Description: partial 16S ribosomal RNA
Rfam family: Bacterial small subunit ribosomal RNA
Source: RNAcentral
GUCCACGCUGUAAACGUUGGGCGCUAGGUGUGGGGUGCUUCCACGUGUCCCGUGCCGUAGCUAACGCAUUAAGCGCCCCGCCUGGGGAGUACGGCCGCAAGGCUAAAACUCAAAGGAAUUGACGGGGGCCCGCACAAGCGGCGGAGCAUGUUGCUUAAUUCGACGCAACGCGAAGAACCUUACCAAGGUUUGACAUCGCCCGGAAAGCCUCAGAGAUGGGGCCCUCUUCGGACUGGGUGACAGGUGGUGCAUGGCUGUCGU